This 235-nucleotide long non-coding RNA is filed under the name Phasianus colchicus (ring-necked pheasant). RNAcentral's name for it is "lncRNA (ENSPCLG00000013324.1)". Lineage: Eukaryota; Metazoa; Chordata; Aves; Galliformes; Phasianidae. The record is from RNAcentral.
GUGGCGUUGGUGACCCUUGGGUGGCGUUGGUGACCCACGGGUGGCACUGGGUGGCAUUGGGUGACCCAUGGGUGGCAUUGGGUGCCAUUGGGUGGCAUUGGUGACCCACAGGUGGCACUGGGUGCCAUUGGGUGCCAUUGGGUGACAUUGGUGACCCAUGGGUGGCACUGGGUGCCCUUGGGUGGCAUUGGGUGACCCACGGGUGGCACUGGGUGCCAUUGGGUGGCAUUGGGUG